AUACAUUCUAACGUCAGCACAUCAAACUAUCAAUUUUCUUCUAAAGAUUUUCGACCGUAUUAAAAAAAGUAUAAGGUUAAAAAUCUGUUAAAAGAAGAGGUAGCUUGAUGUGCUUUGCUUGCUUUAUCUUUACAUGGCAUUUGGUUCUAUGUUUAAUCUACACACAAUGUCUUGAAGGAGCCUGGUGUUCCUGAGUACUCCUCGUUGAACUUGGCACUCGGUCGCCGGGACUCGUCUGUGGUAGCUCCCUCCAUCCUCUUCACAGCUGCUAUGUGUUCAUCUGUACUAAUUGCCUUGAAAUCCAUUUCUGAAAAGAAG
Spodoptera frugiperda (fall armyworm) is the source of this 318-nucleotide long non-coding RNA. RefSeq lists it as uncharacterized. The record is from RefSeq and is a predicted model, not a curated record. Lineage: Eukaryota; Metazoa; Arthropoda; Insecta; Lepidoptera; Noctuidae. The transcript is spliced from 2 exons.